CUAAUACCGCAUAACGUCGCAAGACCAAAGAGGGGGACCUUCGGGCCUCUUGCCAUCAGAUGUGCCCAGAUGGGAUUAGCUAGUAGGUGGGGUAACGGCUCACCUAGGCGACAAUCCCUAGCUGGUCUGAGAGGAUGACCAGCCACACUGGAACUGAGACACGGUCCAGACUCCUACGGGAGGCAGCAGUGGGGAAUAUUGCACAAUGGGCGCAAGCCUGAUGCAGCCAUGCCGCGUGUAUGAAAAAGGCCUUCGGGUUGUAAAGUACUUUCAUGACGGGGAGGAACGAG
RNAcentral lists this ribosomal RNA (290 nucleotides) under Enterobacter sp. 555(2010). Its description in RNAcentral is "partial 16S ribosomal RNA". It matches the Rfam family "Bacterial small subunit ribosomal RNA", at positions 163 to 453 of the family's 1533-position model. Lineage: Bacteria; Pseudomonadati; Pseudomonadota; Gammaproteobacteria; Enterobacterales; Enterobacteriaceae. The record is from RNAcentral.